AGUAGCUUUACAGGAAGUGUCGUUUCGUAAACAUCAAUUUAACGUUGCGUGAGGUUGCGCUAGAUCACCAUUGAAGAAAUUUACCGCCACAAUUUAUGGUGCGACGAGCCACGCGAAUUAUGCUAACGAGCGAUCAUAUGCAAUUGAGUUCGAGAGGGAUGCAUAUCGCUGAAUUUUCCCCGUCAUCUUGGGUCAUAAUUUUUUUUUCAUAACGCGUACUUAUUGCAUUUGCAUCGCUCUCGGGAGGUGGUGGCAUUUGUGCUUUUGGGCCAUCAUUUUUUUAAAGACGCGUGUAUUUGUAAUAAUAUCGGUUGAACAUUACAAUCAUUCUGCAAGUUUAUUGCACCUUUCUUUGCUGUAGUCGUAUCGUAGUCAAAAUUAAUGACUUUUCAGAUCAUCAGUGGUUAUGACAAUGGCGACUUUUAAUUUAUAAAAUAAAGUGGCAGUUUCGCGCCAAAGGCAAGGGAUUGAUUGCGAUAGCCAAUUAUAGUGGAAAGCUAUACGAAAUAAAAAUACUAGUUUUAUCGGUUUUAUAAACUUGUAAACAUACACAUACUAAAUUAACAAGUAUGGUGUCACGCGCGCACAAGCCAACAUAAACUCAUCUCACUCGAUCACCGCGGAAACUGGCUGUCAAAACGCUGGCGUGAGGAUAUGCGGCAGCAGCAGCGGGUGAAGUGACAUUCGUGCUGUCCAUCGCUUGAACGCAAUGUAAACGUCGAGAACACACAGCAGCACAAUGCUACAAGCCACCGACGCACCUAGACUCUGCCCCCAAAGCAGAUCGCUCUCAAGAUGCCGCCACGUGACCACGUGCAGCCGCCACAUGCGCAGCUGCAGCCGGAGUAGAACCAGGCCCCGCGCACUCUCGAAUUCCAGCGAUCGCCACAGAGGGCGAAAAAUCAACCGCGGCUCGUUACAGCAUCAAGCACCCUCCAAGACGCUGCUCACACUUGUUCACGCCUUUGGACUCUAUUGUCUCUUGACGGACAUGUCAACAGUGAAUCUGUCACCAGUGGCAGUAACAUCAAGGGCCAAAAUCCUCACAAGGAAGACGGACAAAAGAGAGAUUAUUGGUCUGCAAGAUGCCCACGCCAAACCAUAGGAAGCUCAGUGGUCACUAUAAUGACAACAGGUCCUCUUGACAGCUCCAGUUCAUGGAAAGGCACACGUAUUGGGAGUACAAACCUAGGGCUAAUAAGCCCCUGUUGCCGUAUCGGUCCGCCCACUCGAAGCUUGUCAAGAGGAGCAAUGCCGACUUGUGCUUUGGAAAUGCAUUAAAGAAAUCUUGCUACCAUGA
Dermacentor andersoni is the source of this 1300-nucleotide long non-coding RNA. RefSeq lists it as uncharacterized. The record is from RefSeq and is a predicted model, not a curated record. NCBI's taxonomy places the organism in Eukaryota, Metazoa, Arthropoda, Arachnida, Ixodida, Ixodidae.